This 301-nucleotide ribosomal RNA is filed under the name uncultured bacterium. Its description in RNAcentral is "partial 16S ribosomal RNA". It matches the Rfam family "Bacterial small subunit ribosomal RNA", at positions 509 to 807 of the family's 1533-position model. The record is from RNAcentral.
CAGCAGCCGCGGUAAUACGAAGGGUGCAAGCGUUAAUCGGAAUUACUGGGCGUAAAGCGUGCGUAGGCGGUUUGUUAAGUCUGUUGUGAAAUCCCCGGGCUCAACCUGGGAAUGGCAAUGGAUACUGGCGAGCUAGAGUGUGUCAGAGGAUGGUGGAAUUCCCGGUGUAGCGGUGAAAUGCGUAGAGAUGUGGAGGAACACCGAUGGCGAAGGCAGCCCCCUGGGCCAAUACUGACGCUCAUGCACGAAAGCGUGGGGAGCAAACAGGAUUAGAGACCCCCGUAGUCCCUGUCUCUUAUAC